This 449-nucleotide ribosomal RNA is filed under the name uncultured bacterium. RNAcentral's name for it is "partial 16S ribosomal RNA". It matches the Rfam family "Bacterial small subunit ribosomal RNA", at positions 29 to 523 of the family's 1533-position model. The record is from RNAcentral.
AAUGAACGCUGGCGGCAUGCCUAACACAUGCAAGUCGAACGAAGGCUUCGGCCUUAGUGGCGCACGGGUGCGUAACGCGUGGGAAUCUGCCCUCAGGUUCGGAAUAACAGCGAGAAAUUGCUGCUAAUACCGGAUGAUAUCGCGAGAUCAAAGAUUUAUCGCCUGAGGAUGAGCCCGCGUAGGAUUAGCUAGUUGGUGUGGUAAAGGCGCGCCAAGGCGACGAUCCUUAGCUGGUCUGAGAGGAUGAUCCGCCACACUGGGAGUGAGACACGGCCCAGAGUCCUACGGGAGGCAGCAGUGGGGAAUAUUGGACAAUGGGCGAAAGCCUGAUCCAGCAAUGCCGCGUGAGUGAUGAAGGCCUUAGGGUUGUAAAGCUCUUUUACCCGGGAUGAUAAUGACAGUACCGGGAGAAUAAGCUCCGGCUAACUCCGUGCCAGCAGCCGCCGUAA